CACGUAGGCACCAAGCGUUGUCCGGAUUUAUUGGGCGUAAAGAGCUCGUAGGCGGUUCGGUAAGUCGGGUGUGAAAACUUUGGGCUCAACCCAAAGCCUGCACUCGAUACUGCUGUGACUUGAGUCCGGUAGGGGAGUGGGGAAUUCCUGGUGUAGCGGUGGAAUGCGCAGAUAUCAGGAGGAACACCGGUGGCGAAGGCGCCACUCUGGGCCGGUACUGACGCUGAGGAGCGAAAGCGUGGGGAGCAAACAGG
This 254-nucleotide ribosomal RNA is filed under the name uncultured bacterium. RNAcentral describes it as "partial 16S ribosomal RNA". It matches the Rfam family "Bacterial small subunit ribosomal RNA", at positions 524 to 776 of the family's 1533-position model. The record is from RNAcentral.